UAAUUUCUUUCCAAUUAUUGAUUCGUAAUUUUAAUGUGCAAGGGAGCAAAAACUGUACUUGACAUCUGUCACAGAAUUGUCUGAUCGUAUCAUGCGUUAAAAAUAUUUUAUGAUGCCGUGGACGAGUUAAUUUAUAGAUAUCGAAUAUUAAUUUAAUAUCUGUUGGCAAUUUAGUUCAUUGUACGAUGAAUUGUUUUUUUUCAGAUAAUAUACGCGAAAGAGUUGUAUACAUGUGCUUCGUUUGGAAAUGCUUUAUCAUACGACGUGUCAACUUCGGCGAUGAAACGAUAUCUUUCUUUAUUAAGAUUACUCAUUAUCACGUGGUGAAUAAUUUUCAAAUUACUCUUUAUUGGAUCUCCGUGCACGGUGCAUCUAAACAGACCAUAAUUUCGUCUCGACCAUCGAAACAUUUACGCUCAUUACGAGUUUGGUCUGGGAUCAGACGAUGCGUACUAAUGGAAUCUUCCGUCCCGCCGGUUCUAGAAACAUCGAGCCGAUUCGUAAAUUUCCCGAAAUUAUUAUUAUUAAUCGAAACAAACAUUGUUCUCGCUUACACAAUAAUUAGAAUUGUUCAAACAUCUCGGAACACUUUCACACCCGUACAUUUUUCUAAUGUCAACGAUAACUUAUGUUUGUAUUCACAAAAGCAAAUGCAUUUGUUACUAGAAAA
Molecule: non-coding RNA, 670 nt
Organism: Megalopta genalis
Lineage: Eukaryota; Metazoa; Arthropoda; Insecta; Hymenoptera; Halictidae
Source: RefSeq, a predicted model, not a curated record